GAGUUUGAUCCUGGCUCAGGACGAACGCUGGCGGCGUGCUUAACACAUGCAAGUCGAGCGAAAGGCCCCUUCGGGGGUACUCGAGCGGCGAACGGGUGAGUAACACGUGGGUAAUCUGCCUAGACACAGGAAUAACCAGUGGAAACGCUGGCUAAUGCCUGAUGAUGUGCCGGCCUUGCGGGCUGGUACCAAAGGUAGCUUCGGCUUCCGGUCUUGGAUGAGCCCGCGGCCCAUUAGCUUUUGGCGGGGUAAUGGCCCACCAAGGCUUCGAUGGGUAGCUGGUCUGAGAGGACGAUCAGCACACUGGGACUGAGACACGGCCCAGACUCCUACGGGAGGCAGCAGUGGGGAAUCUUGCGCAUGGGCGAAAGCCUGACGCAGCAACGCCGCGUGCGGGAAGAAGGUCUUAGGGUUGUAAACGCUUUCAGCAGGGACGAAGGCGUCCGGGUUAAUAGCCCGUACGUUGACGGUACCUGCAGAGAAGGUCCGGCUAACUAUGUGCCAGCAGCCGCGGUAAUACGUAGGGACCAAGCGUUGUCCGAAUCAUUGGGCGUAAAGAGCGUGUAGGCGGGCCUG
This 576-nucleotide ribosomal RNA is filed under the name uncultured Actinomycetes bacterium. RNAcentral describes it as "bacterial SSU rRNA". It matches the Rfam family "Bacterial small subunit ribosomal RNA", at positions 9 to 583 of the family's 1533-position model. Lineage: Bacteria; Bacillati; Actinomycetota; Actinomycetes. The record is from RNAcentral.